AUGGGCGCAAGCCUGAUGCAGCCAUGCCGCGUGUGUGAAGAAGGCCUUCGGGUUGUCAAGCACUUUCAGUCGUGAGGAAGGUAGUGUAGUUAAUAGCUGCAUUAUUUGACGUUAGCGACAGAAGAAGCACCGGCUAACUCCGUGCCAGCAGCCGCGGUAAUACGGAGGGUGCGAGCGUUAAUCGGAAUUACUGGGCGUAAAGCGCAUGCAGGUGGUUUGUUAAGUCAGAUGUGAAAGCCCGGGGCUCAACCUCGGAAUAGCAUUUGAAACUGGCAGACUAGAGUACUGUAGAGGGGGGUAGAAUUUCAGGUGUAGCGGUGAAAUGCGUAGAGAUCUGAAGGAAUACCGGUGGCGAAGGCGGCCCCCUGGACAGAUACUGACACUCAGAUGCGAAAGCGUGGGGAGCAAACAGGAUUAGAUACCCUGGUAGUCCACGCCGUAAACGAUGUCCUACUUGGAGGUUGUGGCCUUGAGCCGUGGCUUUCGGAGCUAACGCGUUAAGUAGACCGCCUGG
RNAcentral lists this ribosomal RNA (514 nucleotides) under Vibrio sp. 2Bf5S83. RNAcentral describes it as "bacterial SSU rRNA". It matches the Rfam family "Bacterial small subunit ribosomal RNA", at positions 371 to 876 of the family's 1533-position model. The record is from RNAcentral. RNAcentral also lists the same sequence under 1 other name. Lineage: Bacteria; Pseudomonadati; Pseudomonadota; Gammaproteobacteria; Vibrionales; Vibrionaceae.